GUUCUUGCUUUGAUAGCACAUAUACUAAAAACAGGAAAAAUACAAAGAAUAUUAUCAUCAUCCCUACACAUGAAUGACAUGCAAAUUUGUAAAGCAUUCUGUAUUUGA
This is a small nuclear RNA of Ictidomys tridecemlineatus (thirteen-lined ground squirrel), 108 nucleotides long. Lineage: Eukaryota; Metazoa; Chordata; Mammalia; Rodentia; Sciuridae. The record is from Ensembl.